RNAcentral lists this unclassified non-coding RNA (735 nucleotides) under uncultured Prochlorococcus sp. RNAcentral describes it as "partial may contain 16S ribosomal RNA, 16S-23S ribosomal RNA intergenic spacer, and 23S ribosomal RNA". The stretch from base 331 to 403 matches the Rfam family "tRNA". The record is from RNAcentral. Lineage: Bacteria; Bacillati; Cyanobacteriota; Cyanophyceae; Synechococcales; Prochlorococcaceae.
CGCCGAAGGUGGGGCUGAUGACUGGGGUGAAGUCGUAACAAGGUAGCCGUACCGGAAGGUGCGGCUGGAUCACCUCCUAACAGGGAGACAAUAAAUUGAUUGUGAUGUCUAAGUUAUUUAUUCUUAGGCCGCAAUCCUGUCACCUUAAGGUCGAUCGGUACCUCAGAUUUUUGAAUUAGUUUUACAAUUGAUUCUUUGAUUUCAGUUCCUAAACUUGUCUAGGUCACACCCAACAAAGGUUUCUCCUGGGCCAUUAGCUCAGGUGGUUAGAGCGCACCCCUGAUAAGGGUGAGGUCCCUGGUUCAAGUCCAGGAUGGCCCAUUCGUUGUUGGGGGUAUAGCUCAGUUGGUAGAGCGCCUGCUUUGCAAGCAGGAUGUCAGCGGUUCGAGUCCGCUUACCUCCACUGAAAACUAUCCUGAUAACUAAAUUUCUGGAGAAAAAAAUUGUAGAUGUGGCUUAGAAUUGUCUAUUUGAAAAGAACCUAGCUUCUUGUCAUCUUUUUAUAGUUGAUAAAAUGCUGGGCUCGCAUGGAUUAUUUCCAUGAGAAUUCAGUAGAACCUUGAAAACUGCAUAGAUUAGAAAGAAUAAAGCAUCUCAUGGAUGCAUAGUUCUGUUUUUAUAAUUUAGCCUUAAAACUAAAUUAUUUAAUUCUAGAACUCAUGUUUAAUUCUUGAGUAAUAGCCGAGCACAAUUGAUUUUGUGAUUGUAUUAAAGGUCAAGCUACAAAGGGCUCAG